AGCAGCCGCGGUAAUUCCAGCUCCAAUAGCGUAUAUUAAAGUUGCUGCAGUUAAAAAGCUCGUAGUUGAAUUUCGGGACUAAUAUGUUGGUCGUGCCUCGGUACGUACUGAUAUUUUUGGUUUCUCCCUUCUGACGAACCUUGAUGUCAUUAAUUUGGUGUCUUGGGAAAUCAGGACUGUUACUUUGAAAAAAUUAGAGUGUUUAAAGCAGGCUCACGCUUGAAUACAUUAGCAUGGAAUAAUGAAAUAGGACGUUUGAUUCUAUUUUGUUGGUUUCUAGGAUCGACGUAAUGAUUAAUAGGGACAGUUGGGGGCAUUAGUAUUCAAUUGUCAGAGGUGAAAUUCUUGGAUUUAUUGAAGACUAACUACUGCGAAAGCAUUUGCCAAGGAUGUUUUCAUUAAUCAAGAACGAAAGUUAGGGGAUCGAAGACGAUCAGAUACCGUCGUAGUCUUAACCAUAAACUAUGCCGACUAGGGAUCGGAUGAUGUUAAUUUUUUAAUGACUCAUUCGGCGCCUUAC
Molecule: ribosomal RNA, 520 nt
Filed under: uncultured Glomus
Lineage: Eukaryota; Fungi; Glomeromycota; Glomeromycetes; Glomerales; Glomeraceae
Description: SSU rRNA
Rfam family: Eukaryotic small subunit ribosomal RNA
Source: RNAcentral